UUAUUUUAUUCCUCUUCGAAAACAACAACCCCGACAUUUGCCCAUCACUAGCUACAUCCUUGCAGUCCGUAACUCAACAGUCAGGUGAGUUGAGGGCGAGUUUUGAUUGGAACACAAAUGCCCCGGAUCCAUUUUUUGCCAACCAAUUACCAUCGACUAAUUUUGUUUCAAUGAAUUGAUUGGACAAGUGCGUGUCCUCGCGUCAUAAAAUUGAUAAUGUCCGAAAAUGGCGACCCUGGCUCUGCUACUGUGAAUCCACGGUAUAUUCACCUGUUUGUUUACAUGAAAACCCAUUAUAAGAUGGUCGACGAUAAAAGAGGGGGGGAAAAAGACAUGCAGCAAGCAUGCAGAAGUAAAGUUAGCGUCCUGAGCUUCACUGCAGUCACCAUGAAUGGAGCCCUUUGCUCAAUAGCUAAGGACAGAGAACUAUCAAAGAUUCGACACAGAUCACUUUAUCAUUUCUACCUUGGUGCAAAUAGAUUAAUUUACAAAUUGCUGCUUUGCUAUCAUGAAGUUACACGCAGUGAGUCCUUUAUGGAGGCAAGCUGAGGAUGCAUAGCUUCAUGUACAGUCAUACAUCGGAGCACUCAUCCAUCAACUGCAUGGAUUUCCUGUCAAAGUCCACUACCACGAGCAUCGUUGCCCAGGCGACACCAAGACAUGUGAGCGAGUGUACAGCCCAGAAGGGGCGAGAGAUCGAG
Molecule: long non-coding RNA, 701 nt
Organism: Cynoglossus semilaevis (tongue sole)
Lineage: Eukaryota; Metazoa; Chordata; Actinopteri; Pleuronectiformes; Cynoglossidae
Exons: 4
Source: RefSeq, a predicted model, not a curated record